RNAcentral lists this ribosomal RNA (253 nucleotides) under uncultured bacterium. RNAcentral's name for it is "partial 16S ribosomal RNA". It matches the Rfam family "Bacterial small subunit ribosomal RNA", at positions 524 to 776 of the family's 1533-position model. The record is from RNAcentral.
UACAGAGGGUGCAAGCGUUAAUCGGAAUUACUGGGCGUAAAGCGUGCGUAGACGGUUAUCUAAGUCGGGUGUGAAAGCCCCGGGCUCAACCUGGGAACUGCAUUUGUGACUGCAUCGCUGGAGUACGGCAGAGGGGGAUGGAAUUCCGCGUGUAGCAGUGAAAUGCGUAGAUAUGCGGAGGAACACCGAUGGCGAAGGCAAUCCCCUGGGCCAACACUGACGCUCAUGCACGAAAGCGUGGGGAGCAAACAGG